This is a long non-coding RNA of Bombus impatiens (common eastern bumble bee), 1355 nucleotides long. RefSeq lists it as uncharacterized. The transcript is spliced from 3 exons. The record is from RefSeq and is a predicted model, not a curated record. NCBI's taxonomy places the organism in Eukaryota, Metazoa, Arthropoda, Insecta, Hymenoptera, Apidae.
GAAACAAUAACGAGAAAAAAAAUACCUUGACGUUUAUCGGCGGCGCUGGUGGAGGAGGAUCCACUUUAACGUUAAUAAAUUUUAGAACGUCAUUAUAGUCCAGUUGUUCCUCUUCGUUCUUGUGAAUGCUAUAUUAUUAUUGCAAGAUCUCCACUUAUAUACGUACUGAUCAAGCAUGGAAUUUAAAAGUUCCACGUCGACUGGAAGUCUGGCAGCACGGAGCGUAGUGUACAACGUAUGGCGUGGCAAGAACCCUGUUCUUCCUCUGUCCCAAUGAUGCAGAUCCUCCUCCAAACGAUCGAGAUCGUUCCACAAAGUUCGCAAAAGUUCCGUAUGCAUUAACUGUCUGUUAAACGUCUAAUUAUUAUUCCUACUAUGUUGAAUCGAUCUUACGUCGGUGUUUCUACCAACGACGAUUGCUUACCUUAUGUAUUCCCUAGUAUGAAACUCUUUUUUCUCAUGAGACGAAUAAUGUCGAGCGAUCGUGAUUAUUUCGUGCUCUGUUAUUUUUCCUUCCAUAUACUUGCCCAAGACCUCCCUGAUUUUUCAUGAAAUUAUUGUAACAGUACAGUAUAAAUAGUAUAGUAUUUGGUGGUGUAACAAAACUGCUAUAUAAUACAAAUAAAAAGAUUGGUAGCACGUUAGGUCGUGGCUUAUAAAAUGUCUAUUUGAGGGCUUGCAAGGACUCUAAAAGACAGCUUCCGCAUAUCUUUGUUAUUUGUACUCAGUUGCUUAGUAUAAAUGUUGUGUAAUUUGUUUAAUCUUACGUGUGUAGAUUUGGUGGAUCAGAGCAUGAGGGGAGUACGGCAGGAGCUGAUUCAGCGCGCCAAAAUAAGAAGAAGAGUUCCUACAAACUGCCCAUAUGACCUUACUGUCGAGUAACAGCUUGUUUCGUGUCGUUAUAGUCGCUUAGCUACCACCCAGAAAAUCGCUCCAAGUAGUCAGGUGCAGCUUCGGUAGCAGCGUGAAUGCAUCGCAUCGUAGAUCGUGGAACCUGUUCCAACAGCUUAUACGGAUUCGUCGGCGACUUUGACGAAGAGUUUCGACACUGUCAACCGACGUUGUAUAAACAGGACACUUUAAACGCUCCUGUGACUAACAAUCGAAUGGGUCCAGGUGCGAAGAGCUAGCUGAUGAUGAAAUAAGACCAGCACGACAUAUCCAUCUUCCAGGAAGUCGUUGAUCUAAUGUGCUGAAUCAACACCUGCUGUACUUAUCCGCAUGCUCUGACUCACAUAAAUUCGUAAUCUGCAGUAGCGUGCGUUUCAACAAAUUGCAAUUGGAUUUUUUGAUUUUUACGUGACGAAUCAUUUCCUGUCACGCCGUUCGAAUACUUUCGUUAUUCGCCUCAUAGG